RNAcentral lists this long non-coding RNA (2512 nucleotides) under Salmo salar (Atlantic salmon). Its description in RNAcentral is "lncRNA (ENSSSAG00000119545.1)". The record is from RNAcentral. Lineage: Eukaryota; Metazoa; Chordata; Actinopteri; Salmoniformes; Salmonidae.
AACAUGCCUCCUGUAUGUGGUUGAAAUUAAAUCAGCCUGCAGACGUUUCUGUAUCUCCUCUUUCAUGCGUUUUUUUCAAGAGAGGGAUAUUUCACAUUCCUGCCUCAAGAAGUCAAAGAGUAAUUAGUCUCUCCUUUUCAAUUGUUUCCUGGUUGUUUACGUGCAUAUUGAGACGAGGAAUCUCCUCAUGGCUAACAACAACAACAUGCCGCUGGGUUGGUUUCAGCUGAAUGCUUCCACCAGUACGAUAAGGUAUUUAAGUUUGGUUGCUCUUCCUCUUUCAUGCUCGUGUGUGUGUGUGUGUGUGUGUGUGUGUGUGUGUGUGUGUGUGUGUGUGUGUGUGUGUGUGUGUGUGUGUGUGUGUGUGUGUGUGUGUGUGUGUGUGUGUGUGUGUGUGUGUGUGUGUGUGUAACAAUGGUAUAAAUACUCUAACAAAGCCCUCUACUCAUGUCUGGGCACAUCUCACUUGAACUUUGACCCCUCACCUCUAACCUCUGCCUCCUACCAUCAGGUAUUCUUUUCCAUGCCCCAGGCAACUUCAUUACUAACCUUUAGACAUACGAGUUACCAUACCCGGUCUCAGGGAUGGCCAACUCUGAAAAUCUCUACAGAGUUCCCUACAACAGGAUGUCCAUGUAUGGAACAAUCUACAGAGUUCCCUACAACAGGAUGUCCAUGUAUGGAACAAUCUACAGAGUUCCCUACAACAGGAUGUCCAUGUAUGGAACAAUCUACAGAGUUCCCUACAACAGGAUGUCCAUGUAUGGAACAAUCUACAGAGUUCCCUACAACAGGAUGUCCAUGUAUGGAACAAUCUAGAGUUCCCUACAACAGGAUGUCCAUGUAUGGAACAAUCUAGAGUUCCCAACAACAGGAUAUCCAUGUAUGGAACAAUCUACAGAGUUCCCUACAACAGGACGUCCAUGUAUGGAACAGUCUAGAGUUCCCUACAACAGGAUGUUGUGGAACCUCUCGGGCAGUUCAACAUGUUGAUUGGAGACCUCUUUGCUGAUGAAUGUGAUAAUUUUUCUGCAAUGUAUUUGUAUUUUUUUAUGUAAAGGAUGUGAAGGGCUGCCUUGUGAAAAAUACAUUUGGACUGAAUGGGACUCGGUUUAAAUAUAUAUAUAUAUAUAUAAGGAAUCCAGGCAGCACCCAGUGAAAGGGGUGAAAGGGUUAGCAUAUCAGCUUGUGGGCUUUGGCACCAGGCCCUUAUUGUAAUUAACUGGCAAAUUGGCAGAUUAGUAGAGAAAUCAAGCAGAACCUGUCUGUUUGUUCGUACUGGCCGCCAGCCCUGCUUGAGUGACGGAUGGGCUGAAGAUCCUGGUGCCACUGAAUAGUGUAACUGUCAUGUCCAUGCUGGAGUGUAUUUGUAUUCAUUAUAAAUUCCCAUUACUUCCUGCCAAGGCAGCAGCUACUCUUCCUGGGGUCCGGCUAAAUUAAGGCAGUUUAUUCAAUUUAAAAACAAUUACAAUACAUUCACAGAUUUCACAACACACUGUGUGCCCUCACGCCCCUAAUCCACCACUACCACAUAUCUACAGUACAAAAUCCAUGUGUACAUGUGUGAAAAGUGCGAGUGUACAGCUGUGAAAGGCAGUGUGUGAUUAGGAAAUGCGACAGGGAGAUUUUGACGUCUUUAGUACAUUGUAAAUAGCAGUGCCUAUGGAGCUGGUUAGAGAGAUAUCGCCCUGUGUUUUGUUUUCCCUUCAAACAUGCCAUAAUUUCAUGUGGGUCGGGGGGAGUCCCACAGGAUGGUAUGGCCACAAGGGUAUUUCUUUAACAAAUUAGGUCCCUUGGCUCAUCUCUGUAACUCUUCCCUGGGCUCGGGAGAGGCAAAGGUGGAGUCAUGUGUCCUCAGAAAAGUGACCUGCCUGGCUGUCUACUUCUCAUCUCUUAACCCAGAUGUCAGCUGCACCGAUAUGUCAUAGGAAACACUGUUCGACUGACAACCGGAGUCAGCUUGCAGGCUCCCAGCCUUGUCACAAGGAGUCAUUAGGAGAACCUCUAAGAACUUUGCACCCCUGGAUUGACCUGAGCCCUAGGACCAUGCCUCAGGACUACCUGGUAUGAUGACUCCUUGCUGUCCCCAGUCCACCUGGCCGUGCUGCUGCUCCAGUUUCAACUGUUCUGCCUGCGGCUAUGGAACCCUGACCUGUUCACCGGACGUGCUUGUUGCACCCUCGACAACUACUAUGAUUAUUAUUAUUUGACCAUGCUGGUCAUUUAUGAACAUUUUAACAUUUUAACAUUUUGACCAUGUUCUGUUAUAAUAUCCACCCUGCACAGCCAGAAGAGGACUGGCCACCCCUCAUAGCCUGGUUCCUCUCUAGGUUUCUUCCUAGGUUUUUGGCCUUUCUAGGGAGUUUUUCCUAGGGAGUUUUUCCUAGCCACCGUGCUUCUUUCACAUGCUUUGCUUGCUGUUUGGGGUUUUAGGCUGGGUUUCUGUACAGCACUUUGAGAAUAUCAGCUGAUGUACGAAGGGCUAUAUAAAAAUAAAUUUUUUGAAAUUUGA